CCGUAGGUGAACCUGCGGAGGGAUCAUUACAGAGUUGCAAAACUCCCUAAACCAUUGUGAACGUUACCUAAACCGUUGCUUCGGCGGGCGGCCCGGGUCCUUCCCGGCGCCCCUCGGCCCUCGCGGGCGCCCGCCGGAGGUAAACCAAACUAUUGCAUUGUAUGGCCUCUCUGAGUCUUCUGUACUGAAUAAGUCAAAACUUUCAACAACGGAUCUCUUGGUUCUGGCAUCGAUGAAGAACGCAGCGAAAUGCGAUAAGUAAUGUGAAUUGCAGAAUUCAGUGAAUCAUCGAAUCUUUGAACGCACAUUGCGCCCGCCAGUAUUCUGGCGGGCAUGCCUGUUCGAGCGUCAUUUCAACCAUCAAGCCCCGGGCUUGUGUUGGGGACCUGCGGCUGCCGCAGGCCCUGAAAUGCAGUGGCGGGCUCGCUGUCACUCCGAGCGUAGUAGUUACAUCUCGCUCUGGGCGUGCUGCGGGUUCCGGCCGUCAAAAGCCUUAUUUACCCAAGGUUGACCUCGGAUCAGGUAGGAAGACCCGCUGAACUUAAGCAUAUCAAUAAGCGGAGGAA
RNAcentral lists this ribosomal RNA (566 nucleotides) under Chaetomium sp. B132. RNAcentral describes it as "eukaryotic LSU rRNA". The stretch from base 198 to 351 matches the Rfam family "5.8S ribosomal RNA". The record is from RNAcentral. Lineage: Eukaryota; Fungi; Ascomycota; Sordariomycetes; Sordariales; Chaetomiaceae.